RNAcentral lists this ribosomal RNA (420 nucleotides) under Triticum aestivum (bread wheat). Its description in RNAcentral is "partial small subunit ribosomal RNA". Lineage: Eukaryota; Viridiplantae; Streptophyta; Magnoliopsida; Poales; Poaceae. The record is from RNAcentral.
AUGUCUUACAUUCGUAAUGACCUCCUUGCCUCCAUGGAUUUGGGCUCGAGCUCCGCUGCCGUUCAUGGCCGAAGUCCCCUGAGGCGGCAAGGCCCUGGUGGUAGUGGACCGGUGCUGCAACGGUACUACAACCCUGAUGUGGUCUUCCAAGAUGCAGCACGGCAUGGCCGGGAUGAAAUUGAUCUGAAUGUUGCUGUGGAGCCAUCAAUUUUCUUUGAUGAUGAUAUGCAAAAUGUUGCGCACGAAGAAGAAGAUGAUGGAAUUGAUCUGAAUGGUACUCCGGGAAAUGAUAGUGACGAUUCGUUGCAUCUGAACACGGAUGGUGUAGCUCCAAAUCAUGGCAAUGCCCGUGUGGCUAGUGACAAUGCCAAUGGAAAUGCUGCAACACUUGUUGACGAACCAGAUGAAGAAAUAUCAUCA